RNAcentral lists this ribosomal RNA (279 nucleotides) under Favella ehrenbergii. Its description in RNAcentral is "partial Bacterial small subunit ribosomal RNA". It matches the Rfam family "Bacterial small subunit ribosomal RNA", at positions 505 to 783 of the family's 1533-position model. Lineage: Eukaryota; Ciliophora; Spirotrichea; Tintinnida; Xystonellidae. The record is from RNAcentral.
GUGCCAGCAGCCGCGGUAAUACGGAGGGGGCUAGCGUUGUUCGGAAUUACUGGGCGUAAAGCGCACGUAGGCGGAUCAGUCAGUCAGAGGUGAAAUCCCGGAGCUCAACUUCGGAACUGCCUUUGAUACUGCUGAUCUGGAGUUCAUGAGAGGUGUGUGGAAUUCCGAGUGUAGAGGUGAAAUUCGUAGAUAUUCGGAGGAACACCAGUGGCGAAGGCGGCUCACUGGCUCGAUACUGACGCUGAGGUGCGAAAGCGUGGGGAGCAAACAGGAUUAGAU